AGACCAUGAUGACGGCACUUUCUUAGUAGCUCCUUGAACCUUUCCUAAGUUUCAUACAAGGAUUCCCCGUCCUCUUGUAAUGUUUUAAUUUUACUUUUGGGCU
Molecule: small nucleolar RNA, 103 nt
Filed under: Helianthus annuus (common sunflower)
Lineage: Eukaryota; Viridiplantae; Streptophyta; Magnoliopsida; Asterales; Asteraceae
Description: Plant small nucleolar RNA R71
Rfam family: Plant small nucleolar RNA R71
About the family: R71 is a member of the C/D box family of snoRNAs containing the C (UGAUGA) and D (CUGA) box motifs.
Source: RNAcentral